Molecule: ribosomal RNA, 936 nt
Filed under: Triticum aestivum (bread wheat)
Lineage: Eukaryota; Viridiplantae; Streptophyta; Magnoliopsida; Poales; Poaceae
Description: partial small subunit ribosomal RNA
Source: RNAcentral
AUGCUUGCUUUAAGGGUCUUCCCUUUUCUUUAUAGUACAUAUAGUGUGAAACUAAAAGGGUCCGCCUGGUCAAUAAGUGUCCCACCUCACCACACCUCCAUGACCGCGUCUCCCACCUCACCUCCCACUCCCCCCACCGCCGAUCGCCACUUUCUCCGCACGAACUACGCCGACGGCGAGCUCUCGGUGGCGACGAGCGCUCGGCCCCGCUUGCUCGAUCGCUCAGGCCUAGGAAUCGGUUUGGGAAUCGUGCUCAACGACCCAGAUCUGAUUAGGGAUGAGCGAAACACCGAGGGGUCGGGGGGCAUCGACAGAAGAUUUGGAGGCGCUCCUGAAGACGGCGAACAGGCUGGAGAAGGCGGCGGUAAGGGCGGCGGAGAAGGCGAGGAAUGCGAAGCUGGUCCUCGUCGAGCAGAUUCUGGCGAGGGUGACAGAGGAAGAGAGCGAGCGAUUAUUUUGAUUGGGCUCAACUCUAGAGCCGGAGCAGGUGCUGGAUUGGGCGGCAGAGGAAGCCGCGUCGACAUCGAGGAUUCAGAGGGCGAGAUGGAGAUUAUUCCGGCGAGACCCCUGGUAAGCUCUGGGCAACUGGGGGAGGUGUUGAUUGGAGAGGUCUCCGUUCAGUUGGUUCGAUUGGAACCACGAGCAAGCUCUCCCUGUCGUCCCUCCCCGUUCCGGGCGUCUCCGGCGAGGGCACGAGCUUGCAGGCGAGCAGCUGCGGUGCGGGAUUCGGCCAGAGCUGCUGGUCGGUGGGCCCCGGGUGUCAGCGUGGGGGAGCAGAAGACGGGAGUGGGAGACUGUUUUCGACAGGAGAAAGCACACUCUCAAAAACUGCUUUCUCAGGAUGGUGAGGAGGUAGUUGAGGUAUUUGGGCAGCUGUGGUCUGUGCCGUCUCCAAGAAAGGCUAGGGUUCCGCCACCAGGAGGGGGGCUGGUCUAG